This 253-nucleotide ribosomal RNA is filed under the name uncultured bacterium. RNAcentral describes it as "partial 16S ribosomal RNA". It matches the Rfam family "Bacterial small subunit ribosomal RNA", at positions 524 to 776 of the family's 1533-position model. The record is from RNAcentral.
UACGUAGGGUGCGAGCGUUAAUCGGAAUUACUGGGCGUAAAGCGCGCGCAGGCGGUCUUCCAAGUCAGUGGUGAAAGCCCGGAGCUCAACUCCGGAACUGCCAUUGAAACUGUUAGACUUGAGGACGAGAGAGGUGAGUGGAAUUCCCAGUGUAGAGGUGAAAUUCGUAGAUAUUGGGAAGAACACCGGUGGCGAAGGCGGCUCACUGGCUCGUAUCUGACGCUCAGGCGCGACAGCGUGGGGAUCAAACAGG